This 460-nucleotide ribosomal RNA is filed under the name uncultured bacterium. RNAcentral's name for it is "partial 16S ribosomal RNA". It matches the Rfam family "Bacterial small subunit ribosomal RNA", at positions 338 to 795 of the family's 1533-position model. The record is from RNAcentral.
CCUACGGGAGGCAGCAGUGAGGAAUAUUGGUCAAUGGACGCAAGUCUGAACCAGCCAUGCCGCGUGCAGGAAGACGGCUCUAUGAGUUGUAAACUGCUUUUGUACGAGGGUAAACGCAGAUACGUGUAUCUGUCUGACAGUAUCGUACGAAUAAGGAUCGGCUAACUACGUGUCAGCAGCCGCGGUAAUCCGGAGGAUUCAAGCGUUAUCCGGAUUUAGUGGGUUUAAAGGGUGCGUAGGCGGUCGGAUAAGUUAGAGGUGAAAUCCCGAGGCUCAACUUCGGAAUUGCCUCUGAUACUGUUCGGCUAGAGAGUAGUUGCGGUAGGCGGAAUGUAUGGUGUAGCGGUGAAAUGCUGAGAGAGCAUACAGAACACCGAUUGCGAAGGCAGCUUACCAAGCUACUUCUGACGUUGAGGCACGAAAGCGUGGGGAGCAAACAGGAUUAGAUACCCCAGUAGUC